Molecule: ribosomal RNA, 497 nt
Filed under: uncultured bacterium
Lineage: Bacteria
Description: partial 16S ribosomal RNA
Rfam family: Bacterial small subunit ribosomal RNA
Source: RNAcentral
GAUGAACGCUGGCGGCGUGCCUAAUACAUGCAAGUCGAGCGAACAGACGAGGAGCUUGCUCCUUCGACGUUAGCGGCGGACGGGUGAGUAACACGUAGGUAACCUACCUAUAAGACUGGGAUAACUUCGGGAAACCGGAGCUAAUACCGGAUAAUAUUUCGAACCGCAUGGUUCGAUAGUGAAAGAUGGCUUUGCUAUCACUUAUAGAUGGACCUGCGCCGGAUUAGCUAGUUGGUAAGGUAACGGCUUACCAAGGCAACGAUACGUAGCCGACCUGAGAGGGUGAUCGGCCACCCUGGAACUGAGACACGGUCCAGACUCCUACGGGAGGCAGCAGUAGGGAAUCUUCCGCAAUGGGCGAAAGCCUGACGGAGCAACGCCGCGUGAGUGAUGAAGGUCUUCGGAUCGUAAAACUCUGUUAUUAGGGAAGAACAAACGUGUAAGUAACUGUGCACGUCUUGACGGUACCUAAUCAGAAAGCCACGGCUAACUACGUG